GAUUUAUAGCUCGUUGCUCUUCAGAGAUAUUCUCAUCGAGCUCAACUAAUCUCCUACUACUAUCAUUCUGGAUAAACUAUUUUUUUAGAAACAUGGUAUUACGACUCAUAAUCACAUUAUGAUCAUAUAAAAAAUAAAAGUAGUACCCCAUGAAUUUUUUGAGAUACUCUAUAAAUCGAGCUACAACUGAUUUAUCCUCUAACUUAUCAGUUUUCUAUUUUUUAACAUAGUCUGGAUAUUUUUUAGUCUUAAGGUAACUC
RNAcentral lists this long non-coding RNA (260 nucleotides) under Elaeis guineensis (African oil palm). Its description in RNAcentral is "long non-coding RNA (EGUI_LNC050371)". The record is from RNAcentral. Lineage: Eukaryota; Viridiplantae; Streptophyta; Magnoliopsida; Arecales; Arecaceae.